Molecule: ribosomal RNA, 253 nt
Filed under: uncultured bacterium
Lineage: Bacteria
Description: partial 16S ribosomal RNA
Rfam family: Bacterial small subunit ribosomal RNA
Source: RNAcentral
GACGAACUGUCCUAACGUUGUUCGGAAUCACUGGGCUUAAAGGGCGCGUAGGCGGUCCAACAAGUCGGGGGUGAAAUCCUGCAGCUUAACUGCAGAAGUGCCUUCGAUACUGUUGGUCUCGAGGGAGAUAGGGGUGUGCGGAACUUCCAGUGGAGCGGUGAAAUGCGUUGAUAUUGGAAGGAACGCCGGAGGCGAAAGCGGCGCACUGGAUCUCUUCUGACGCUGAGGCGCGAAAGCUAGGGGAGCAAACGGG